Bos indicus x Bos taurus (hybrid cattle) is the source of this 444-nucleotide long non-coding RNA. The record is from Ensembl. NCBI's taxonomy places the organism in Eukaryota, Metazoa, Chordata, Mammalia, Artiodactyla, Bovidae.
CUGCCCGCCUAGGGUACACUUCUUGAGAAGAAGAGUUAAAGCCUUCAGGUCACCUGCAAGCCUCUGACAACAUCCCUCCAGGAACCUAGACGGGUGCAGAGCCUAGCUGAAAUCCAGGGAAGCUCAGUUUACUCAUCUCUAAACUGAGAAGAUCCUCCCCAGGGUCCGAAGCACCGGCCACUCCAUCAUCUGAAAGCUUUGUGGCAACACAGCACCUUUCAUUUGAAGCUGCUUCCCAGAGCUGUGCUGAUAACACUCGGCUUGGCGGUGAAGGGAGAAAGGAAGCUGAUAAGGCCAAGAGAACAUCAGAAAGUUAUGCCUCCUAAAUGCAACCGCCAAAUGAAAGUGCUUGAAAACAUUUACAGAUCCUGUUCUGCUGGCCAGGUCUCCCGCACAGGAGAUGAGACCUAUCACCCUGGAGCUUCUUCUCCCUCUUCUCCCUGA